AUUAUUUUAAUAAACAUAUAUACAUAUGUUUGAGUUUUUCAAGUCUAAUUCGACCAAGCCGGUAAUGUUCAAGCUCGAUUUGAAAUUAAUUUCAAUUUUUUUCUGUUUAAUUUCAUUUAAUUACGAGCCAAGUUCUAGCGAGCCAAAAACUAAACCAAAAGCGGCCGAAACUCAUUUUCUAGCACUAGCAGCGACUGCCUGGGAAAUAACUAGGGGUGGAAACGAGCCGAGCCCGAGCGAGCUUGCCCCAGCUCAAAUUCGGCUUGAAAUUAAUUUCGAGCCUAAAUUUAAGCUCAAGCUCGGCUUGAAAUUAAUUCGAGCCGAGCUCGAGCGAGCCUAAUUUCGAGUCGAGCGAGCUCGAGCCCUAAGCGAGCCGCUUGAAAUUCUCAACAUUGUACGAUUAAUAGUUUAAUUUGUAUAGAACAUUAUUUAUAAUUUGAUACAAAAAUAUAUCUAAUAGUUCAAGAUACAAAAUAAUUAUAUGAAAUACGGUAUUAUAAUAUAAAGAAAAAUAAUUUACGAGUUGAAUAUCUAAUCUUUUCAGUUU
This 547-nucleotide long non-coding RNA is filed under the name Ananas comosus (pineapple). RNAcentral describes it as "long non-coding RNA (ACOM_LNC005917)". The record is from RNAcentral. Lineage: Eukaryota; Viridiplantae; Streptophyta; Magnoliopsida; Poales; Bromeliaceae.